AGCAGCCGCGGUAAUUCCAGCUCCAAUAGCGUAUAUUAAAGUUGUUGCAGUUAAAAAGCUCGUAGUUGAAUUUCGGGAUUGACGUGAUGGUCGUGCCUUAAGGGGUAUGAACUGUUGCUGUUGAUUUCUCACCUUCUGGAGAAACUUGAUGUCCUUAAUUGGGUGUCUUGCGGAUCCAGGACCUUUACCUUGAAAAAAUUAGAGUGUUUAAAGCAGGCAUUUUGCUCGAAUACAUUAGCAUGGAAUAAUAGAAUAGGACGGCAUGGUUCUAUUUUGUUGGUUUCUAGGAUCACCGUAAUGAUUAAUAGGGAUAGUUGGGGGCAUUAGUAUUCAAUUGUCAGAGGUGAAAUUCUUGGAUUUAUUGAAGACUAACUACUGCGAAAGCAUUUGCCAAGGAUGUUUUCAUUAAUCAAGAACGAAAGUUAGGGGAUCGAAGACGAUCAGAUACCGUCGUAGUCUUAACCAUAAAC
This 470-nucleotide ribosomal RNA is filed under the name uncultured Entrophospora. Its description in RNAcentral is "SSU rRNA". It matches the Rfam family "Eukaryotic small subunit ribosomal RNA", at positions 569 to 1037 of the family's 1831-position model. The record is from RNAcentral. Lineage: Eukaryota; Fungi; Glomeromycota; Glomeromycetes; Entrophosporales; Entrophosporaceae.